CAGUGUUAUGAAAUGCCAAAGGCUGGAGCAAUCAAAUGCUUAUUGAUUUUAAUGUGUCUUCAGUCAGAAAAUGAUUUUCCGCAGGAUAAUGGAGAGAGAGAGAGAGAGAGAGAGAGAGAGAGAGAGAGAGAGAGAGAGAGAGAGAGAGAGAGAGGACAAAUGAUUUUCUAAGAGAGAGAUUGUGAUCCUACACCAAGAUGCACAAUGCAUUUGAUUUAUUCACAAAUGCAUUCCUAAUGGUACAGUGCCAUCAUCUGAUAGACAACAUAAAUGUUUCUCAGUUUAUGGGUCAGAUGUCAAAAGAGUGCGGAGUGACUUUUUUUUGCAUGGCACAAAAUAAGAUGGCGUCACCGAUACUGCUGCAGGGGAGAGAAGCCCCCUUCGGUGCUGCACGCUUUCCGAGGGAGAGAAGGCUAGCAGACGCGCCACGCUGACAUCAGCGCAAACACGAGCGGCGGCGGCUCACCUGAGUUCUGCCGGAGCCGGGAUCUGAAAGAGGUUUGAGAAGAGGCAUGGUGAGUGACGGGUUAGCAGGUGCGAGCAAACACUCGCACGCCUUCGCCGCAACAAGACAAGUCUCCCUCAUUAGUGGUGAAGGCGGACGCCUCGUGUUUGACCGCGGUUCACUUUGUUUUGCUUUGCUGCCGCUACCUGACAGC
This is a long non-coding RNA of Syngnathus acus (greater pipefish), 659 nucleotides long. RefSeq lists it as uncharacterized. NCBI's taxonomy places the organism in Eukaryota, Metazoa, Chordata, Actinopteri, Syngnathiformes, Syngnathidae. The record is from RefSeq and is a predicted model, not a curated record. The transcript has 2 exons.